AAACAGUGGCUAAGACUGGAUAGGAAGAUAAAAGGCAUCUUUUAUCUUUUAAAAGACCUAGUAAUAGGUAUGCUUUAGGAGGGGCUUGCGCCAUAUUAGUUAGUUGGUAGGGUAAUGGCCUACCAAGACGAUGAUGUGUAGCUGGACUGAGAGGUUGAACAGCCACAUUGGGACUGAGACACGGCCCAAACUCCUACGGGAGGCAGCAGUAGGGAAUUUUCGGCAAUGGAGGAAACUCUGACCGAGCAACGCCGCGUGAAUGACGAAGUACUUCGGUAUGUAAAGUUCUUUUAUCAAGGAAGAAAAGCAAAUGGCGAACCAUUUGUUUGCCGGUACUUGAUGAAUAAGCCCCGGCUAAUUAUGUGCCAGCAGCCGCGGUAAGACAUAAGGGGCAAGUGUUAUCCGGAAUUAUUGGGCGUAAAGGGUGCGUAGGCGGUCUAGUAAGUCAGUGGUGUAAUGGCAACGCUUAACGUUGUCCGGCUAUUGAAACUGCUAAACUUGAGUUAGAUAGAGGCGAGUGGAAUUCCAUGUGUAGCGGUAAAAUGCGUAAAUAUAUGGAGGAACACCAGAGGCGUAGGCGGCUCGCUGGGUCUUAACUGACGCUGAGGCACGAAAGCGUGGGGAGCAAACAGGAUUAGAUACCCUGGUAGUCCACGCCGUAAACGAUGAGUACUAAGUGUCGGGUUAAACCGGUACUGAAGUUAACACAUUAAGUACUCCGCCUGAGUAGUACGUACGCAAGUAUGAAACUUAAAGGAAUUGACGGGACUCCGCACAAGCGGUGGAUCAUGUUGUUUAAUUCGAAGAUACCCGAAAAACCUUACCAGGUCUUGACAUGUUUUUGCAAAAUGAUAGUAAUAUCGUGGAGGUUACCAGAAACACAGGUGGUGCAUGGUUGUCGUCAGCUCGUGUCGUGAGAUGUUAGGUUAAGUCCUAAAACGAGCGAAACCCUUAUCGUUAGUUGCCAGCACGUUAUGGUGGGGACUUUAACGAGACUGCCAAUGAUAAAUUGGAGGAAGGUGAGGAUCACGUCAAAUCAGCAUGCCCCUUAUGACCUGGGCUACAAACGUGAUACAAUGGCUGUUACAAAGGGUAGCUGAAACGCAAGUUCUUGGCCAAUCCCCAAAAACAGUCUCAGUCCGGAUUGAAGUCUGCAACUCGACUUCAUGAAGUUGGAAUCGCUAGUAAUCGCGAAUCAGCAUGUCGCGGUGAAUACGUUCUCGGGGUUU
RNAcentral lists this ribosomal RNA (1229 nucleotides) under Phytoplasma sp. RNAcentral describes it as "bacterial SSU rRNA". It matches the Rfam family "Bacterial small subunit ribosomal RNA", at positions 154 to 1382 of the family's 1533-position model. The record is from RNAcentral. Lineage: Bacteria; Bacillati; Mycoplasmatota; Mollicutes; Acholeplasmatales; Acholeplasmataceae.